AGUGACGCACGGUGCACUGGCGGGAGGUGCGUGCCCGGGACCGCGGCGGGAUGAGAGAGGGACAAACUGAAGGCUCGUGAUGUUCAUAGCCUCUCUGUGCUUUGUUCCUUGAUAUAGAUAAAUCGCAUUUACAAUUUCCUUGGGAAAGACGAAAACGUUAUGAAGUGGAUUGAAAACUAAGCAACUGCUGUUCGUUAAUAGAGAAUGAUAAGGAACUAACGAAUGUUGUACGUCCGUCGUUAGUCUUCAGCAACAACAUUUAACGAAGAGACAGCACAUAUCAGGUUAUUUAGAAAUGACUCCAAAUGUCUGGACGAUCAAGUCUCCCUGGCUACAGAGCAUCGAUUCCUCCUUUUCUCCUUCCCGGACGUAAUGCAUCAGGCCAACGACUCUCCUUUCUGCUUCCUUCUCUUUAUCCCUCUCUAACCAGUGGACAUCUUGAGACGAUCGAGUUUGCGAAGCGCUCAUCACGGCGAAUCAUAAUCACACGGCAAGUAGGCUGCAGACGCUUGAUCCUAAGGACGCUCUGCGCCACAUGGGCGGGUUCGGAGAGGCUCUUUGUCCCAGGGAUCUUGGUAUUCAUCUGCAAGUGCUUAUGUUUCUGAAUGAAAAUAUACUUUUUUACUUUAUCAGUAUUACGGCAAUUGUAUAUAUAUUCACGUCAUGAGUGUUGACGCUUUCAAUAGUUUUAAAUCAUCACUAGACGUGUUAAAUCCAUUAUAUAUUUACUCGAAAGAACAAGCACAGCAAAGUAUCGAUCAAAUGUAACCGCUGACAUUCAGUCGCUAAUUAGCGGCUCCGAAAACCUAGUGUGUUAUCAAUGCAAUUACGAAUAAAGUUUCUUCACAACAAA
Penaeus chinensis is the source of this 853-nucleotide long non-coding RNA. RefSeq lists it as uncharacterized. The record is from RefSeq and is a predicted model, not a curated record. Lineage: Eukaryota; Metazoa; Arthropoda; Malacostraca; Decapoda; Penaeidae. The transcript has 2 exons.